Juglans microcarpa x Juglans regia is the source of this 362-nucleotide long non-coding RNA. RefSeq lists it as uncharacterized. Lineage: Eukaryota; Viridiplantae; Streptophyta; Magnoliopsida; Fagales; Juglandaceae. The record is from RefSeq and is a predicted model, not a curated record. The transcript has 3 exons.
AUUUACCUGACAUUUUUCGAGACUUGUGGUAACACCAGAGAGCAAAUUCCUGCAACAUCUCAUGGACUUCCAUGCUUCUUUGAUAGCAUCAAUACAACCUGUCUGCUGAGCCCAACAAGCCUCAUAUCUGCAAGGCCCAUUGGGAGAGACCGAAACCUAAGGCUGAGAUUUUGUGCAUAGGUCUUGUUUAUAGGCCCUUGUCUUUCUUCUCCAUUUAGUAACCAAGACUGAAUGAGGCUUUUCAUGAGGGACCCUCUAAUGAUCUCCUUGUUGCCCCUGAUCCAAGCCAAUCUCAGAAUCUUUGACUAUGUCAUUUAACUGCAACUUCAUUAUCCCGAGAUUCCUCCGCAUAUGAUGCACCA